Molecule: ribosomal RNA, 580 nt
Filed under: uncultured bacterium
Lineage: Bacteria
Description: partial 16S ribosomal RNA
Rfam family: Bacterial small subunit ribosomal RNA
Source: RNAcentral
UGGGGAAUUUUGGACAAUGGGCGAAAGCCUGAUCCAGCAAUGCCGCGUGUGUGAAGAAGGCCUUCGGGUUGUAAAGCACUUUUGUCCGGAAAGAAAUCCUUGGCUCUAAUACAGUCGGGGGAUGACGGUACCGGAAGAAUAAGCACCGGCUAACUACGUGCCAGCAGCCGCGGUAAUACGUAGGGUGCAAGCGUUAAUCGGAAUUACUGGGCGUAAAGCGUGCGCAGGCGGUUUGCUAAGACCGAUGUGAAAUCCCCGGGCUCAACCUGGGAACUGCAUUGGUGACUGGCAGGCUAGAGUAUGGCAGAGGGGGGUAGAAUUCCACGUGUAGCAGUGAAAUGCGUAGAGAUGUGGAGGAAUACCGAUGGCGAAGGCAGCCCCCUGGGCCAAUACUGACGCUCAUGCACGAAAGCGUGGGGAGCAAACAGGAUUAGAUACCCUGGUAGUCCACGCCCUAAACGAUGUCAACUAGUUGUGGGAUUCAUUCCUUAGUAACGUAGCUAACGCGUGAAGUUGACCGCCUGGGGAGUACGGUCGCAAGAUUAAAACUCAAAGGAAUUGACGGGGUCAAGCUGUUUCC